This 253-nucleotide ribosomal RNA is filed under the name uncultured bacterium. Its description in RNAcentral is "partial 16S ribosomal RNA". It matches the Rfam family "Bacterial small subunit ribosomal RNA", at positions 524 to 776 of the family's 1533-position model. The record is from RNAcentral.
UAUGAAGGGGACUAGCGUUGUUCGGAAUCACUGGGCGUAAAGCGCACGUAGGCGGAUUUGUAAGUCAGGGGUGAAAUCCCGGGGCUCAACCUCGGAACUGCCUUUGAUACUGCGAAUCUUGAGUCCGAUAGAGGUGGGUGGAAUUCCUAGUGUAGAGGUGAAAUUCGUAGAUAUUAGGAAGAACACCGGUGGCGAAGGCGGCCCACUGGAUCGGUACUGACGCUGAGGUGCGAAAGCGUGGGGAGCAAACAGG